UGCAGCUCGUAAAUUUACGUGGCUUUUACAAAGUAUCAAAUAGGUUAGAUGAAUACCCAUAAUAUAUAUUUAACGUGUGAUAAAGAAUGGCCUUAAAUGUGAAGACUUAGAGACUCUGGAAGCAAUGACGAUUAAUUAUAAAAUGUGGCAUCAUUGUUCUGAUUGGACAUUCACUUGCAUGCAGGAAGAUUUCCGAAAAUCACCAGGAAUUUCGCCUUGGGUUUCAUGUAUCGUUCGGAAAUUGGCAAGUUGUUAUUCUAAACUAUGGCACACAAAAGGAGCAGGAUGUGCCCUCAUAUUGGCAGUCAUCACGUGUUGGAGAUAAAAAAGCUUGAAAAGGUGAAGACGUGUGCGGACUGCGAUUAUUCUGGUCCUAAUCUAUGGAUAUGUCUGCAAAAAAACUGUUUACGCGUAGGAUGCUCCGAGCAAGCUAAUGACCAUAGCACAGAGCAUUUUCAGCUUAAUAACUGCCACUGUCUCCAUAUGAACAUGUCAUCUCAGAGGCUUUGGUGCUACUUAUGUGAACGUGAAAUCUUCAUUGAUGUCAAACCAACAUUGAUAGAAGAUCCCUUCAUAAAAGCAAUUAGGUCGGCGGUUGCUUUGCCCAGGGAUGAGAAUGAUAACAGUGAUGGAAACGUUGAGGAGGGAGAAGAUAAUCAAGAGAUGUCAAAUAUUUCUACGGGGUUGGUUGGGUUACAAAAUAUCGCUAACACUUGUUACAUGAAUGCAGCUUUACAAGCGCUAAGUAAUGUCCAGCCUAUGACACAUUACUUCCUCAAUUGCAAUGACUUAGUGGAUCAUAUUGUCGAACAAAGCUCAAUUCGCAAUAAAGUUGGUUUGGCUAAAAGUUACCAGCGUUUAAUGAAUGACAUAUGGUGCAUGGAUGGUGUUGGUAAAGAUUACAUUGCGCCUCGGGGAAUAUUAUAUGGAAUUCGAAGUGUUCACCCAAUGUUUCGCGGCUUUCAGCAACAUGAUACACAAGAAUUCUUGCGCUGUUUUAUGGAUCAAUUGCAUGAGGAGUUGAAGGAAAAUAGCCCUACAUUGCCGAUAAUAACGAGUGCUGAGGUAGCAUUAGCUGAGAUGCAUACUUCGGAAGAGCCGCUUGACACCGACUCUGUGUCUCAGUCUAGUUCAGUGUCGGACUCUGAGUAUGAGACAUGUGAUAGCAGUCUUUCACAACAUUCGAAUCAACUCAAGGGACAGUUACACUCAGGUAGCACAGAGCGCAGUAGAAGACCGCGGAAAACACAUACAAGCGCAUCCCAGCCACAAGCAGUUGUGCAUUCAAUUAUAAGUGAUAUAUUUGAUGGGAAAUUGCUUUCCUCGGUACAAUGUCUCACAUGCGAUCGGAUUUCCACACGAGAAGAAACUUUUCAAGAUCUUUCGCUACCCAUUCCAAAUCGAGACUAUUUAAAUAUGCUUCAUCAAACCCACAGCUUAAGUGCUCAAAGUCUUAAUUCAAUAGACACUUUGGCACCCAAUAAUACAGAUGGUUGGUUUUCCUGGUUUUGGAAGCUUUUUCGUUCUUGGCUAUGGGGACCUUCCGUAACGUUAUAUGAUUGUAUGUCGAGCUUCUUCAGUGCAGACGAGCUCAAAGGUGACAAUAUGUAUAGUUGUGAGAAGUGCAAUAAACUAAGAACUGGAAUUAAAUAUUCACAAAUUUUGGAAUUACCCGAAGUGUUAUGCAUCCAUUUGAAGCGGUUCCGCCACGAUCUGUCAUAUAGCUCAAAAAUAUCCUCGCCAGUUCAUUUCCCGCUUGAAGGUUUCGAUAUGAAACCAUAUUUGCAUAAAGAUUGCAAAUCGACAGUCACAUCUUACAACUUGGUUUCUGUGAUUUGCCACCAUGGUACGGUUGGUGGUGGUCACUACACCUGCUUUGCCCGGAAUCCCGUUACAGAUCGUUGGUAUCGAUAUGAUGAUCAGCACGUCACAGAAGUACCACCAAGCGCUGUGCAGAACUGUCAAGCGUAUGUUAUCUUUUACAGAAAGCACCAUCCUCAAAUGGAAUUAAUACGAGCGAAGGCAAGUGAAAUUUCUGCACUGAAUCCUGUACAUACCGCAGAAAUACGAUUUUUCGUAGCACGUGAAUGGUUAACUAGAUUUAGUACAUUUGCGGAACCCGGACCAAUCAAUAACUGGACAAUACUGUGUUCUCACGGUGGCCUUUUGCAGUCAAAGAUGGCUCUGCUGGAUCAGAUCGCUGUACCAAUAUCCCAGCCGUUAUGGGAUUUUCUAUAUUGCACAUUUGGGGGUGGUCCUGCCAUAAAUAUGUUGUUUGAAUGUGAAAUCUGCAAAAGGCAAGCUGAAGCUUUAAAAAGACGCCAGAUCUACGAACUAUGCAUAUUCACAAAAUUCACUAGCAUGGAUGUAGAACUUGAUUGUGGCGCAAUAUAUGCUAUAUCAAUGCCGUGGCUGCGAAAAUGGCAGCAAUUUGCCCGUGGCGCUACCCAUAAGGAACCUGGUCCUAUUUCUAAUGCCAAUAUCGCCCUCAUCACAGAUGCCGCUCAGUCAUCACCUUUGCGACAAGUACGCCCAGGAUCGGAUUAUGCACAGGUGAAUGCCCCUCUAUGGAGAUUUUUCUAUGGCAUUUACGGAGGUGGGCCAGAAAUUAUGCUUCGGGGGUCGGUUACGGAAGAGAUCGAAAUAAUUGACCAGGACGAACAAUACGAUGGUGACCAGCUGGUGGACAAAUUAGAUCUUUCGGAUACAGAGAGCAAUAUUGGAAAUACUAAUUGUUUUGACUUGAACGAAUCUUUGACAGAAUCUAUGCACGAAAAUUGUAUUUCGGAUAAUAGAAGCUCAGAGAAUAAUACACCUUCGCCUACAAUACGAGUUCCUUAUGGAAAUCACAAGGAAAGCAGGCAUGCAAAACAUUUUUCGGGAAAUGGGAAAAAACUACGGCCCCCAUUACUUAGAAAUAGUCUUCGGAAAAAAACAGUCAGAGGACGAAAUGCAAUCAAAAGUGCUUUUGGGCCUACGGGUAACUACAAUUUUCGGAAAAGCUUCGACUGUAUAGAAAAUGUUCCUGAGGAGAAGGUGCACACACAUUCCACACACACAUUAGAUACCGAAUCUGACGUACAACAAAGUGCAUUUAGUGUAAAUCAAAAGCAAUCAUUCCCAAUCGAUAAAAAGUCUAGAAAAUCUAACUCGAAACAAAACUAUGCCGAAAGCGUAGCAUCAUAUUCUGAAGAAAUAGUGGCUGUUCAUGCGGGGCAUGCAAAAAAUAGAUCAAAAAGCAAAGACUUAGUCACCCUUCAGAAAUUUGUUCAAUUGCCAGAAUCCAGCGAGUCCACCGAAACUGAUAUUUAAGAUAAUCCGACUUUCGACUUUCGAAGUAGUCGUUGCAAUUUUAGUUGAUUUAUUUCUGUUGGGCUAUCUGUGCAUGUAUUUUUAUAUUCUUAUCUAUUUGAGAGGAAAUGCUGAUAGGUUAUCGGAAAUUUAGUGCCUGACUAAUUCUACUGAAAAACGACGUGAACAGUACCGAGGUCAGGACUGUUUGUCAAACUGAAAAUUGGUUACGCUGCAAACAAAAAUGAAAUGGCGCAAUAUUAAUCACCCUAUCACCCUUGAAGACGGUACAACGACGAGUUAGACACACUUAUCACGGGUGCAAAUGUAAUCAGGUACAUCAAAGCGCAAAGGAUUCGAUGGUACGGUCACGUUCUGCGAAUGAGCAACGAGAGAGCUAUAAAAAGAUCUUAAGAUCUUCGAAACAAAGUCAGGCCGAGAAAACGACGGAGAGCUGACAUUGAAGGCGACCUUGCAGCUAUGGGCAUAUCUGAUAUCAAACGAAAAGCUGAUGACCGAUUGACGUGUAGGCGAAUUGUAACGGGAGCAAUGAUGCGACAUACAUGUGUGUGCGCUUACUUAUAUAUGCACAUAUGUACAUAUGUACUUUGAAAGCACCGCAAGAUGGCGUUUAAUGUCAAUUUAAUUAUAAUUGUUAAUUUACCUAUAAGAAAAUGACAUGCAGUAACUUUUCUUAUUACAUCUAAUAAUUUGCUUUGUAGCGUCAUUUUGCCAUUUUUUAAAUAAAAACAGUUAUCAAAAAUAAAUUUUUUGCAUAUACAAAACUUCCAAACAUGUACUUUAUAUGAUAUCGCAUGAAAAAAAAUAAAUAAAAAAAAAUAGUUGGGACUAAGUUCGUAGCGUU
Anastrepha ludens (Mexican fruit fly) is the source of this 4156-nucleotide RNA transcript. It is a transcript of the gene named ubiquitin carboxyl-terminal hydrolase 20, with no coding region annotated. The transcript is spliced from 8 exons. The record is from RefSeq and is a predicted model, not a curated record. Lineage: Eukaryota; Metazoa; Arthropoda; Insecta; Diptera; Tephritidae.